Long non-coding RNA from Astatotilapia calliptera (eastern happy), 4134 nucleotides. Lineage: Eukaryota; Metazoa; Chordata; Actinopteri; Cichliformes; Cichlidae. The record is from Ensembl.
GGCGGAGGAUCAGACCUCCGCCACAUUAAUACUCAACAGUGUAUGAUUACAGUGUAUACCAUUUUGGCCUGACAAACAUUCUGCACGAGCUUGUUUGCUUUCUAGUUAAGUGCAAAAGUUGCACUAAAAUGAUCAGCAUUUCCACAGUCAAACAAUUAAAUUGUUUGCUUUUCAAGGCAAAUUACCUUUAGGUAAUUUAUAGGAAAAAUCUAAUUUUCAAAAGAAAAUCCCACAUGGAUGGUUUAAGGAAACAAUUAUAUCAAGGAUAUAGUGUCAUUUGUAAAAGGGCAUUGAUGUUUGGAGCUCUGAAGUAAGUGUGUGUGUUUUGUUUUUGCCUUUGCUUUUUGUUUUUUAGGGGGGUGGUUGUCUACAUUGUUAGAUAUAAAAUGUAUAUAUAUUUGUCUUGUCACAUUUCAACUUCACAAAGUAUUUAAAUUUUGCAAAUACCCCUUUCUUCUGCAUACAACAGACAAGGAUAAACAAUAAAACUUAGCUGACCUGCUCUGCAUAGCCAAGAAAAAUAUACUGGCUUUCACUCAAUAUUUUAACAUAGAUGCAACAAUAAUUAAACCUCUUAAACUGCAAAUAUCAGGCAGUUUAACUUUUCAUUUUUUCAUUUUUCACGUUUCAUUUUGAAACCAUUAAAACAUAUGCCAUUUUUGCAACUAUGACUCCUCCUAAGACAUCACUUAAGACCAGAGUUGGGCGCGUUACUGUAAUCUGAUUACUUUUUUCAAGUAACGAGUAAAGUAAGGGAUUACUAUUGCAAAAACGGUGAUUAGAUUACCGUUACUUUCCCGUAGUAAUGCUGCGUUACUAAAACCGUGAUUUUUUGCGAGAAUGUCUCAUGACAGUGACGUAAGCAAGUGCGCCGUUAGUGACAACAGCUGUGUGCAGAUCGACAAUGGAUCACAUAUCGAUUGUGGGAGAGAGUAUGAGCGUGCAGCGUUUAAAGCGUGGAAGUACUGACCUUACUUUGAGUUUGAUUCCAUAAAAAGUGACAAAAACAUUAGCGUCCAUCGUGCGUGGGAAGAAAACUUCUUUUUACAGCGAAAAACUUCCAAGCAAGCACCGAGUGCGCUACGACGUAAUGGGAAACUCACAGAGAAACUCGCGGAUUCUUCCACUGACCGCGGCACACCUGCACCAGGGUAAACCUCCGCCUACCGCAGUCCUGCUUUACAGGUGAAAAUAGAGCAACAGGACCGCUGAGUCUUUGACUUUAUUUAUUUUCUGCUGUGUUUUACUUGCAUCUAUUUGAAAGAGUGAGUGUAAACACAAAAAAUACUUAAUUUUAUGUGCUGGAAUGUGUAGAAAAUAGGUUUAAAUGUUAAACUAAUUUAUUCAAGUCAGAGAAUGUUGCGUAUAAUUAAAUCUUUGCUUGAUGCAUAAAGUUAAGAUUAAAAUUGAUAAAACAAGUUAAAAAAAAGAGACUUUUCCAUUUGAUUACAUUUUGUAUGAUGGAUUAUGUAGAAAAAGUAGAAUUGGGCUGAAAGAUCUAUCGCUUUAUCACCUCUUCAGGUUGUAAAUUGUGUUUUUAAAAAGUAACUAAGUAACUAAGUAAUUAAUUACUUUUGAAAAUAAGUAAUCAGUAAAGUAACGGGAUUACUUUUUUGGGGAAGUAAUCAGUAAUUAGAUACGGAUUACUUUUUUCAAGUAACUUGACCAACACUGCUCAAUAUUUUUGUCUAGCCCAAAAGUCAAAUUUGCACAGCAUACAACAUAGUCAAGUACCCUUUUGCAGCAAAUGUGAAGUUAUUGCUUAAUGAUAAGCAAUAACUUAUCAUUAAGUUAUUGCUUAAUGAUAAGUUAUCGCUUUCUCGUUUCUCACCGCCAUGCUUUCUCGUUUGUCUCGUUUUGCACUGUCCGGCAUCUGUCUUUUGUCAGUGACGUAAAAGAUGGAUUUAAUGUGACAUGCCCAUUCAAACAGCAGUCGCUUUCUAAAACAUCAGAUAUGUAUCGGAUUCAGUACCACAUAUGAAAGUGGACUAGGUCGGAUUUGAAAAUAUCGGAUUUGUGCUGUUUAAACUGUCAUACCAUGAUCGGAUAUGGGUCGCAUAGGGUCAAAAAAGUCGCAUUUGAUGCUCUUUCACCUGCAGUGUGAACGUAGCCUUUGUUGCAGCAUCCCCAGUACCUCUACUUCCUAUGGCCUUGCUUUUAAUCACAAUCUUAAAAAGGCUAGUGUUGCUAUAUUGAUGCAUAUGCAAAAGUCUGGUGACUUCCAAAUCAUUCAUAAUCUUUGAAAGUAUGCUGCUUACACAUAUAAAUCUUGUAUUUCAUUUCAGGGUUGUACCCAGAGCUUGCAGAUUGUUGACUAGUUGGCUUGUACAAAACACAGUGAGAGGAUUGUAACCAGGCAACAGAUCCACCUGACCACUGAAUAAUACUAUCAUAACCCAAAAAUGCCAGAUUCAAAAGAACACUUAUUUUGAAAUAUUCAAGUAGAAUCUGUAUCAAACUAACAAUACUUCCACAUUGAUAGUAACAUAUUAGUCUGCAAUUAACCUCCUAAGACCCAAACUCUUUCAUGGCAUGCAUUUUUAAUUUAACUUUGCUAUUUGGGGUGAUUGGGACCUGAUGCAAAACAAAGAAUUAUCUUUUUGCCUGACUUUUUUCUCUCUCGCAGAGCUGGAUAUCCACAUAUGAGGACAUUUGUUUUAAAUUUUGACAGAACAGUGGCAGUAUAAUAUCCUUGUAAGAGUUCAGGCCCUUGUGGAGCAAAAUUUAGUUUUGUGGUCUAGACAACCCAAAAUGUAAUGUCCACAUAUGUGGACACCAGGCCCUACGAGGUUAAACAUAGUUUAUUUCCAAACCCCAUGCGUGAGAUAUUUUGUCCUCUGCAUUUAACCAAUUCAUUUAAUAGGAAGAAAGCUCCAGCAGACCCGGGCUCAGGGACAGGUUCAGUAACAUCCCCAGCCAGUCACCACAGAUGGUACACUGCACUGCACUUUGCUCUGAAUUUCAUAUGCAGGCUGACUUACACACAAGCAAUCUCUGUUUUAUGCAACUUGGUGGAUUGUCUCUGAUGAAAUGCCUAUUGAUGUGCUUUUACAUGAAGGACAAGAUGUUAAACUCUGAAGCACCUGACUGACUAGUAGAGGAAGAGAGACUUUGUCCCUUCAGCUGUUAGGAGGGAACAGCCAGGGGGUUUGUUUAACCACAGCAACACACACUACAGGGGCCUGACACAAGCUAAAGACAGUUGAGUAGGGCUAUGCAACAAGAAAAACUGGUUUCUCCAUCCAUCCUGUAGCAUUACACGCUGGUCUCUUCAGAUUUAGGCUUCAGCAUGAUUGUGACCAAAUAUUUUAUAAAAAAUGCUAUGAAAAAAAGUGAAACACAAACAAAAAAGAUUUAAAAUGCAUAAAGGCACAAAGACUAAACAAGAAUAUUUAAAAUUGUAGCAACUUUGUAUGAAUAUUUGCAUGCAUAACAUUUACCUUUACACUUUAACUGUGUCAAAUGUAGAUCCCAUAGUUCCAAGAGGGAUGAGGUGUGUCCUGUUAGGUCACCAUAACAGGUUUUCGUAAAUAAACACUGUCAAAGUCAUUCUUUUAGUGUAAGACAUAUGCUUUUGCAGAUACAAUCAUUAUUUUAACAGUUUCAACAUAUAAUGCCAAAAAGAAAAAAACAUCUCAAAAUACCUGUAUUGUGUCUGUAUUACAUUAAAGAAAAAUAUACCUUUGACCAAGUCUGGACCAGUCAGCCUCCACACAUUAGAAGCAGUCCAACAGCUUUAUUCCUGAAUAACACUGACGGUGUAAAUGUGGGUUUUCUUCUUGAAAAAAAUACAGACGUAUGCAUGUUCUAACAGUGUAUGUGCAUGUAAUAUACUUACUUACUUUUAGAUAUCAUGUGUCCUUUUGUUGUUACUUUUUAAUAUUUGAUAUAAACUGUGGGGUUUGUUGAAAAGACAAAUUUCUAUUGGAAAAAACAGUAUUGAACAUUACUGGUAGUUCCACUCCUUGCAGAAGACGAGGAACAUUCCUUUCUUUGGGUCUUGGGAUUCAGUGAAAUGUUUGUUUGCGUGAAUUUAUGUUUGUUGACCAGACUUUGAAUUCUGUUGUUGUUUCUACAUUAUACAUUUUGUAUGAAACAAAGCUCCUUGAAAUAAAAAAGAUGAAAUCUAAACCA